This 426-nucleotide ribosomal RNA is filed under the name uncultured cyanobacterium. Its description in RNAcentral is "bacterial SSU rRNA". It matches the Rfam family "Bacterial small subunit ribosomal RNA", at positions 355 to 796 of the family's 1533-position model. The record is from RNAcentral. Lineage: Bacteria; Bacillati; Cyanobacteriota.
UGGGGAAUCUUCCGCAAUGGGCGAAAGCCUGACGGAGCAACGCCGCGUGAGGGACGAAGGCCUCUGGGCUGUAAACCUCUUUUCUCAAGGAAGAAGAUAUGACGGUACUUGAGGAAUAAGCCACGGCUAAUUCCGUGCCAGCAGCCGCGGUAAUACGGGAGUGGCAAGCGUUAUCCGGAAUUAUUGGGCGUAAAGCGUCCGCAGGCGGCUUUUCAAGUCUGCUGUUAAAGCGUGGAGCUUAACUCCAUCAUGGCAGUGGAAACUGAAAGGCUUGAGUAUGGUAGGGGCAGAGGGAAUUCCCGGUGUAGCGGUGAAAUGCGUAGAUAUCGGGAAGAACCCCAGUGGCGAAGGCGCUCUGCUGGGCCAUUACUGACGCUCAUGGACGAAAGCCAGGGGAGCGAAAGGGAUUAGAUACCCCUGUAGUCA